RNAcentral lists this ribosomal RNA (265 nucleotides) under uncultured archaeon. RNAcentral describes it as "partial 16S ribosomal RNA". It matches the Rfam family "Archaeal small subunit ribosomal RNA", at positions 717 to 982 of the family's 1478-position model. The record is from RNAcentral.
ACACGACUACAUUAGAUACCCGGUAGUCCAGGGUGUAAACGCUGCGGGCUUGGUGUUGGGGGUCCCUUUGAGGGCGCCCAGUGCCGGAGAGAAGUUGUUAAGCCUGCUGCUUGGGGAGUACGUCCGCAAGGAUGAAACUUAAAGGAAUUGGCGGGGGAGCACCACAACGGGUGGAGCUUGCGGUUUAAUUGGAUUCAACGCCGGAAAUCUUACCGGGACCGACAGCAACAUGAAGGCCAGGCUGAAGACUUUGCCGGAUUAGCUG